UAGGAUUCCCUUAGUAGCUGCGAGCGAACAGGGAAAAGCCCAGCACCGAAUCCCGCGGUCGAUAUCGGGCGCCGGGAAAUGUGGUGUUAGGGAGGAUCCGUUUAUCCCGAGGUCGUGCGGCGAGUCCAAGUCCUUCUUGAACGGGGCCACAGCCCAUAGAGGGUGCCAGGCCCGUAGUGGCCGCUGCCGAUCGCGGGAGGAUCUCUCCUCAGAGUCGGGUUGCUUGAGAGUGCAGCCCUAAGCGGGUGGUAAACUCCAUCUAAGGCUAAAUAUGACCACGAGACCGAUAGCGAACAAGUACCGUGAGGGAAAGUUGAAAAGCACUUUGAAGAGAGAGUUCAAGAGUACGUGAAACCGUUCAGGGGUAAACCUGAGAAACCCGAAAGGUCGAAAGGGGAAAUUCAUUCGCGUUUCGGCUGUCGGCGAUGAGCGGUCGCGCGACGGACGGCGUUCGCGUCGUCCGCGCCUUCCGUUUUUCGAACCGUCGUCGAACGCGUGCACUUUUCCCCUAGUAGGACGUCGCGAUCCGUUGGGUGUCGGUCUACGGCUCGCGGUGGAGUCCGUGCGCGAUCGUUUCGGCGAUUCGCGCACGAACCCGCGAUGUUCCGGCCGGCUCGCUCGACGGUAUACAGAUGGCGCGAGGCCGCUAUAUAAAUUAGCGUCCGACCCGCGACAAGCACGUUCGACGCUAAGGCGGCGAUCGGACCUAGUGCCGAUUCCGUCACCGGACGACUGUUGGUCGCGCGGAUAUCUCGGACAGACCUCGAUUGAAACGCCGAUCUGCGACGCUAUAGCUUUGGGUAAUUUCAGGACCCGUCUUGAAACACGGACCAAGGAGUCUAGCAUGUGCGCGAGUCAUUGGGACAUAACUAAACCUAAAGGCGCAAUGAAAGUAAAGAUCCGCCUAGCGCGGAUUUAGGGAAGAUGGGCGGUUCGCCCAAAAGGCGGCCGCUCCGCAUUCCCGGGGCGUCUCGUUCUCAUUACGAGAAGAGGCGCACCAAGAGCGUACACGCUGGGACCCGAAAGAUGGUGAACUAUGCCUGGUCAGGACGAAGUCAGGGGAAACCCUGAUGGAGGUCCGUAGCGAUUCUGACGUGCAAAUCGAUCGUCGGAACUGGGUAUAGGGGCGAAAGACUAAUCGAACCAUCUAGUAGCUGGUUCCCUCCGAAGUUUCCCUCAGGAUAGCUGGCGCUCGUCUGUGACGAGUUUCAUCCGGUAAAGCGAAUGAUUAGAGGCAUUGGGGUCGAAACGACCUCAACCUAUUCUCAAACUUUAAAUGGGUGAGAUCUCCGGCUUGCUCGAACUAAUGAAGCUGCGAGAAUCGAAUCAGAG
This 1332-nucleotide ribosomal RNA is filed under the name Bruchinae sp. DDM1310. RNAcentral describes it as "eukaryotic LSU rRNA". It matches the Rfam family "Eukaryotic large subunit ribosomal RNA", at positions 70 to 1119 of the family's 3401-position model. The record is from RNAcentral. Lineage: Eukaryota; Metazoa; Arthropoda; Insecta; Coleoptera; Chrysomelidae.